RNAcentral lists this ribosomal RNA (200 nucleotides) under uncultured bacterium. RNAcentral describes it as "partial 16S ribosomal RNA". It matches the Rfam family "Bacterial small subunit ribosomal RNA", at positions 29 to 238 of the family's 1533-position model. The record is from RNAcentral.
AAUGAACGUUGGCGGCGUGGAUUAGGCAUGCAAGUCGUUCGUCCCGCGAGGGACGAGGCGCAAGGGUGAGUAAGGCGGAGGCAACCAACCCCAUACUUGGGUAUAGCCGCGGGAAACUGCGGGUAAUCCCCAGCGACGUCGCGGGAGGACAUCCUCCUGCGACCAAAGGUGUGAUUCCGGUAUGGGACGGGCCUCCGUGG